AGGCAGUGUACAGUUAGCUGGCUGCA
This 26-nucleotide microRNA is filed under the name Scyliorhinus torazame (cloudy catshark). Its description in RNAcentral is "Sto-Mir-34-P3b_5p (mature (guide))". Lineage: Eukaryota; Metazoa; Chordata; Chondrichthyes; Carcharhiniformes; Scyliorhinidae. The record is from RNAcentral.